Molecule: ribosomal RNA, 921 nt
Filed under: uncultured bacterium
Lineage: Bacteria
Description: bacterial SSU rRNA
Rfam family: Bacterial small subunit ribosomal RNA
Source: RNAcentral
CCUUCGGGCGCUGACGAGUGGCGGGACGGGUGAGUAACGCGUAGAUCUGCCUUAUGUGGGGGACAACGUGGGGAAACCCACGCUAAUACCGCAUACGCCCUACGGGGGAAAGGAGGGGAUCUUCGGACCUUUCGCUAUGAGAUGAGCCUGCGUUAGAUUAGCUAGUUGGUAGGGUAAAGGCCUACCAAGGCGACGAUCUAUAGCUGGUCUGAGAGGACGAUCAGCCACACUGGGACUGAGACACGGCCCAGACUCCUACGGGAGGCAGCAGUGGGGAAUAUUGGACAAUGGGCGAAAGCCUGAUCCAGCAAUACCGCGUGUGUGAAGAAGGCCUUAGGGUUGUAAAGCACUUUCAAUUGGGAGGAAAACCUGUCGGUCAAUACCCGGCAGCUUGACAUUACCUUUAGAAGAAGCACCGGCUAACUCCGUGCCAGCAGCCGCGGUAAUACGGAGGGUGCGAGCGUUAAUCGGAAUUACUGGGCGUAAAGCGUGCGUAGGCGGUUCGUUAAGUCAGAUGUGAAAGCCCUGGGCUCAACCUGGGAACUGCAUUUGAAACUGGCGGACUAGAGUUUAGUAGAGGGGAGUGGAAUUUCAGGUGUAGCGGUGAAAUGCGUAGAUAUCUGAAGGAACACCAGUGGCGAAGGCGACUCCCUGGACUAGAACUGACGCUGAGGUACGAAAGCGUGGGUAGCAAACAGGAUUAGAUACCCUGGUAGUCCACGCCGUAAACGAUGUCGACUAGCCGUUGGUCCUAUUUACAGGAUUAGUGGCGCAGCUAACGCAUUAAGUCGACCGCCUGGGGAGUACGGCCGCAAGGUUAAAACUCAAAUGAAUUGACGGGGGCCCGCACAAGCGGUGGAGCAUGUGGUUUAAUUCGAUGCAACGCGAAGAACCUUACCUACCCUUGACAUCCAGAGAAUC